GGUUAAGCGACUAAGCGUACACGGUGGAUGCCCUGGCAGUCAGAGGCGAUGAAGGACGUGCUAAUCUGCGAUAAGCGUCGGUAAGGUGAUAUGAACCGUUAUAACCGGCGAUUUCCGAAUGGGGAAACCCAGUGUGUUUCGACACACUAUCAUUAACUGAAUCCAUAGGUUAAUGAGGCGAACCGGGGGAACUGAAACAUCUAAGUACCCCGAGGAAAAGAAAUCAACCGAGAUUCCCCCAGUAGCGGCGAGCGAACGGGGAGCAGCCCAGAGCCUGAAUCAGUGUGUGUGUUAGUGGAAGCGUCUGGAAAGGCGCGCGAUACAGGGUGACAGCCCCGUACACAAAAAUGCACAUGCUGUGAGCUCGAUGAGUAGGGCGGGACACGUGGUAUCCUGUCUGAAUAUGGGGGGACCAUCCUCCAAGGCUAAAUACUCCUGACUGACCGAUAGUGAACCAGUACCGUGAGGGAAAGGCGAAAAGAACCCCGGCGAGGGGAGUGAAAAAGAACCUGAAACCGUGUACGUACAAGCAGUGGGAGCACAGAGCAAUCUGUGUGACUGCGUACCUUUUGUAUAAUGGGUCAGCGACUUAUAUUCUGUAGCAAGGUUAACCGAAUAGGGGAGCCGAAGGGAAACCGAGUCUUAACUGGGCGUUAAGUUGCAGGGUAUAGACCCGAAACCCGGUGAUCUAGCCAUGGGCAGGUUGAAGGUUGGGUAACACUAACUGGAGGACCGAACCGACUAAUGUUGAAAAAUUAGCGGAUGACUUGUGGCUGGGGGUGAAAGGCCAAUCAAACCGGGAGAUAGCUGGUUCUCCCCGAAAGCUAUUUAGGUAGCGCCUCGUGAAUUCAUCUCCGGGGGUAGAGCACUGUUUCGGCAAGGGGGUCAUCCCGACUUACCAACCCGAUGCAAACUGCGAAUACCGGAGAAUGUUAUCACGGGAGACACACGGCGGGUGCUAACGUCCGUCGUGAAGAGGGAAACAACCCAGACCGCCAGCUAAGGUCCCAAAGUCAUGGUUAAGUGGGAAACGAUGUGGGAAGGCCCAGACAGCCAGGAUGUUGGCUUAGAAGCAGCCAUCAUUUAAAGAAAGCGUAAUAGCUCACUGGUCGAGUCGGCCUGCGCGGAAGAUGUAACGGGGCUAAACCAUGCACCGAAGCUGCGGCAGCGACGCUUAUGCGUUGUUGGGUAGGGGAGCGUUCUGUAAGCCUGUGAAGGUGUGCUGUGAGGCAUGCUGGAGGUAUCAGAAGUGCGAAUGCUGACAUAAGUAACGAUAAAGCGGGUGAAAAGCCCGCUCGCCGGAAGACCAAGGGUUCCUGUCCAACGUUAAUCGGGGCAGGGUGAGUCGACCCCUAAGGCGAGGCCGAAAGGCGUAGUCGAUGGGAAACAGGUUAAUAUUCCUGUACUUGGUGUUACUGCGAAGGGGGGACGGAGAAGGCUAUGUUGGCCGGGCGACGGUUGUCCCGGUUUAAGCGUGUAGGCUGGUUUUCCAGGCAAAUCCGGAAAAUCAAGGCUGAGGCGUGAUGACGAGGCACUACGGUGCUGAAGCAACAAAUGCCCUGCUUCCAGGAAAAGCCUCUAAGCAUCAGGUAACAUCAAAUCGUACCCCAAACCGACACAGGUGGUCAGGUAGAGAAUACCAAGGCGCUUGAGAGAACUCGGGUGAAGGAACUAGGCAAAAUGGUGCCGUAACUUCGGGAGAAGGCACGCUGAUAUGUAGGUGAAGUCCCUCGCGGAUGGAGCUGAAAUCAGUCGAAGAUACCAGCUGGCUGCAACUGUUUAUUAAAAACACAGCACUGUGCAAACACGAAAGUGGACGUAUACGGUGUGACGCCUGCCCGGUGCCGGAAGGUUAAUUGAUGGGGUUAGCGCAAGCGAAGCUCUUGAUCGAAGCCCCGGUAAACGGCGGCCGUAACUAUAACGGUCCUAAGGUAGCGAAAUUCCUUGUCGGGUAAGUUCCGACCUGCACGAAUGGCGUAAUGAUGGCCAGGCUGUCUCCACCCGAGACUCAGUGAAAUUGAACUCGCUGUGAAGAUGCAGUGUACCCGCGGCAAGACGGAAAGACCCCGUGAACCUUUACUAUAGCUUGACACUGAACAUUGAGCCUUGAUGUGUAGGAUAGGUGGGAGGCUUUGAAGUGUGGACGCCAGUCUGCAUGGAGCCGACCUUGAAAUACCACCCUUUAAUGUUUGAUGUUCUAACGUUGACCCGUGAUCCGGGUUGCGGACAGUGUCUGGUGGGUAGUUUGACUGGGGCGGUCUCCUCCUAAAGAGUAACGGAGGAGCACGAAGGUUGGCUAAUCCUGGUCGGACAUCAGGAGGUUAGUGCAAUGGCAUAAGCCAGCUUGACUGCGAGCGUGACGGCGCGAGCAGGUGCGAAAGCAGGUCAUAGUGAUCCGGUGGUUCUGAAUGGAAGGGCCAUCGCUCAACGGAUAAAAGGUACUCCGGGGAUAACAGGCUGAUACCGCCCAAGAGUUCAUAUCGACGGCGGUGUUUGGCACCUCGAUGUCGGCUCAUCACAUCCUGGGGCUGAAGUAGGUCCCAAGGGUAUGGCUGUUCGCCAUUUAAAGUGGUACGCGAGCUGGGUUUAGAACGUCGUGAGACAGUUCGGUCCCUAUCUGCCGUGGGCGCUGGAGAACUGAGGGGGGCUGCUCCUAGUACGAGAGGACCGGAGUGGACGCAUCACUGGUGUUCGGGUUGUCAUGCCAAUGGCACUGCCCGGUAGCUAAAUGCGGAAGAGAUAAGUGCUGAAAGCAUCUAAGCACGAAACUUGCCCCGAGAUGAGUUCUCCCUGACUCCUUGAGAGUCCUGAAGGAACGUUGAAGACGACGACGUUGAUAGGCCGGGUGUGUAAGCGCAGCGAUGCGUUGAGCUAACCGGUACUAAUGAACCGUGAGGCUUAACCUU
Molecule: ribosomal RNA, 2906 nt
Filed under: Escherichia coli
Lineage: Bacteria; Pseudomonadati; Pseudomonadota; Gammaproteobacteria; Enterobacterales; Enterobacteriaceae
Description: 23S ribosomal RNA
Rfam family: Bacterial large subunit ribosomal RNA
Source: RNAcentral